Molecule: ribosomal RNA, 197 nt
Filed under: uncultured bacterium
Lineage: Bacteria
Description: partial 16S ribosomal RNA
Rfam family: Bacterial small subunit ribosomal RNA
Source: RNAcentral
ACGCUCGACACCUACGGGAGCAGCAGUGGGGAAUAUUGCACAAUGGGGGAAACCCUGAUGCAGCGACGCCGCGUGAAGGAUGAAGUAUUUCGGUAUGUAAACUUCUAUCAGCAGGGAAGAAAGUGACGGUACCUGACUAAGAAGCCCCGGCUAACUACGUGCCAGCAGCCGCGGUAAUCUGAGCGGGCUGGCAAGGC